RNAcentral lists this ribosomal RNA (253 nucleotides) under uncultured bacterium. RNAcentral's name for it is "partial 16S ribosomal RNA". It matches the Rfam family "Bacterial small subunit ribosomal RNA", at positions 524 to 776 of the family's 1533-position model. The record is from RNAcentral.
UACGUAGGCAGCGAGCGUUGUUCGGAGUUACUGGGCGUAAAGCGUGCGCAGGCGGUUUUGUAAGCCAGAUGUGAAAUCCCCGGGCUCAACCUGGGAAUGGCAUUUGGGACUGCAAGGCUGGAGUACGGCAGAGGAGACUGGAAUUCCUGGUGUAGCAGUGAAAUGCGUAGAUAUCAGGAGGAAUACCGAUGGCGAAGGCAGGUCUCUGGGCUGAUACUGACGCUCAUGCACGAAAGCGUGGGGAGCAAACAGG